RNAcentral lists this RNase P RNA (443 nucleotides) under Chloroflexota bacterium. RNAcentral describes it as "Chloroflexi bacterium (groundwater metagenome) RNase P RNA component class A". It matches the Rfam family "Bacterial RNase P class A". Rfam says of the family: Ribonuclease P (RNase P) is a ubiquitous endoribonuclease, found in archaea, bacteria and eukarya as well as chloroplasts and mitochondria. The record is from RNAcentral. Lineage: Bacteria; Bacillati; Chloroflexota.
GCAAGCAAGCAGUCCGUCGCUCAUCCUGAGCAUCCUGAGCAUAGUCGAAGGACGAAGGAUGAGAGGAACUUCCCGACUCCUCGUUCGAUCUUGCGUCGAACAAGAUUGCCUCACGAAACAGCAAGUGAGGGCGCGCGCAGAGUAAUCAACGCGCGACGACAACUGCAACAGCAAGUAUUCCCGCUUUACGCAAGUAAAGUAAGGGCUGAAACGGUGAGGUAAAAGCUCACCAGCGUCGCGAGUGAUCGCGGCGGCUGGGUGAAUGUCCAAUCGGGAGCAAGGCGGGUGGGAUCGGCUCGCGCGCAAGCGCAGUUGAUUCCCGUCGCAGUCGCGAUGUUAAAGCCGAGCAACACUCGACACGAUAAUCGUGACCGCGCGAUUGAAAAAUCGCGCGAGACAGAUGACGGAUCAAACAGAAUCGGGGGUAGGGCUUGCUUGCCGUU